Molecule: ribosomal RNA, 909 nt
Filed under: uncultured bacterium
Lineage: Bacteria
Description: bacterial SSU rRNA
Rfam family: Bacterial small subunit ribosomal RNA
Source: RNAcentral
ACGCUAGCUAUAGGCUUAACACAUGCAAGUCGAGGGGAAACGGCAUUAUGUGCUUGCACAUUUUGGACGUCGACCGGCGCACGGGUGAGUAUCGCGUAUCCAACCUGCCCUUUACUUGGGGAUACCCCGUUGAAAGACGGCCUAAUACCCGAUGUAAUUCAUUGAUGGCAUCAGAUAUGAAUAAAAGAUUUAUCGGUAAAGGAUGGGGAUGCGUCUGAUUAGCUUGUUGGUGAGGUAACGGCUCACCAAGGCGACGAUCAGUAGGGGUUCUGAGAGGAAGGUCCCCCACAUUGGAACUGAGACACGGUCCAAACUCCUACGGGAGGCAGCAGUGAGGAAUAUUGGUCAAUGGGCGCAAGCCUGAACCAGCCAAGUAGCGUGCAGGAAGACGGCCCUAUGGGUUGUAAACUGCUUUUAUACGAGAAUAAUUUGAUGCACGUGUGCGUUAUUGCAUGUAUCGUAUGAAUAAGGACCGGCUAAUUCCGUGCCAGCAGCCGCGGUAAUACGGAAGGUCCAGGCGUUAUCCGGAUUUAUUGGGUUUAAAGGGAGUGUAGGCGGUUUGUUAAGCGUGUUGUGAAAUUUAGGUGCUCAACAUUUAACUUGCAGCGCGAACUGUCAAACUUGAGUACACGCAACGUAUGCGGAAUUCAUGGUGUAGCGGUGAAAUGCUUAGAUAUCAUGAAGAACUCCGAUUGCGAAGGCAGCAUACGGGAGUGUAACUGACGCUUAAGCUCGAAGGUGCGGGUAUCGAACAGGAUUAGAUACCCUGGUAGUCCGCACAGUAAACGAUGGAUGCCCGCUGUUAGCGCCUGGCGUUAGCGGCUAAGCGAAAGCAUUAAGCAUCCCACCUGGGGAGUACGCCGGCAACGGUGAAACUCAAAGGAAUUGACGGGGGCCCGCACAAGCGGA